Molecule: long non-coding RNA, 3034 nt
Organism: Drosophila simulans
Lineage: Eukaryota; Metazoa; Arthropoda; Insecta; Diptera; Drosophilidae
Exons: 2
Source: RefSeq, a predicted model, not a curated record
CCUAUGCUGGUAAAUAUUUCUUUAGAACAUUUAGCUGGAAAUCCAGCACAAACUGAGUCAUCCACCUGGGUGGGCAUAGAAUCUGCGCAGCUUCCAAUUACCAACUGAAAAACAAAACACUCUUGAAUUAGUCACUCUGAAUUUCGUUCUAGGGCUUGGCUGGCUUAGCAACGUAUACGUAAUAUCCAGUACAGUGCAGUUCGUGAGAAGCAACCUGCGCGUUCUGCUGUUGCAUUUUAUAAUUUAUAAUUACAAAUGUACAGCCCUUGGUUGCCCCCUGCCGCCUGUCGAUGCUUUGAUUUAUUUAGCUUUUUUAUUAGUGCAUCGGCGAGUUAGACCCGUUUCUGGUCGGCGGCAAUUGCAACCUUGAACUUGAUAUUAGAUACGAUGGCGCGCGUGAGUGAGAUUGUGAGAGAAAUAUUUGUCGACUUCUCACAACCGGUUUUCGCAUCGAUCCGACGGCCAAGGGCAAUGGUAUCUCUGGCACAUCAUUUUCAUCCCGCCCAGUCAUCAAAAUUUAAUUUAAAGAUACUUUUGCCCGUCUAUAUGGGCCGACUUAUCUUUUCGGCUUUGCCUUUCUCCACCUUUUUCAUUUUUCUUUUUUUUGUUUGAGGUUGACUCAUAUCGGCAAAAGAAUGCCAAAUAUUUGCUAGUUAUGUGCGUUUAGCCGAGGCAAACAUUCCACCACCUAAUCCCCACCCACUCGUCCUGUUUGUGUGUGCAAAUAUGUAAAUCAAUGUGGGUCGCCCCUAAUGGCAAGGGCCCCAAAAGGAACGGAAGGGCGAAGAGCAGUUCCUGUCAAGUGGUUGGCAGGCUACAUAAAUUGUGUGACAAGCAAGGAAGCAACACCCCUUGUCCCACCCAACAACACCCACUUGCGAAUGGUGAAUGGGAUGGGAAAGUACGGCCUCUGGGGAGCGUCGUCAUAUGGAAAAUUAUUUUACGGCCACGCAUCGCCAUGUCACCGUAAAGUUUAAGUGAAAUAAUUGCACAUUAAAAUGCAUCAAACGGACAGAUGCAGCCAAGUAGAUUCGAAAAUAUGGUACACAUUUCUAGGCACUACAGUGCUACAUAUACAUAUGUAUGUGGAUACUGUGUGAUUAUAUUUUUGUUUAAAUCAAUUCAUUAAGAUUGCCAUAAGAAGUAACUAAGUAGGUAAGUAAGUUUUAAGUGUACAUACAUACCUAAAGUGGUAUGCAACAUUUUAAAAGGAAACCAGUAGCUUUCCCUUCUGUAGAGUAUUCGCCAUCGGAAAAUAAAAAGCUAUAAAGAAUUACUUAAACACUUAUAUUCAGGCAUAUAGGAAUGAUCUAUAUGUGCAUAUGGUCGCCGAGACGGCCUACAAUAAAUUUCAUCCAAAUUACGUUUUCAUGCCGUUGGCGUGCAAUUUUCAUUUAAUUGAGGCUUAUUGCGGUCUUUCGGGUGGGUGGUUUUUGCCCGCCUGUUGGCUUGGCCCGAUCUCCAGCUGGCCAACGUGACCGACUGUUCAUCUGGCUGCCCGCCGGAAUGGGGAACUUGCCUUGUCCGGUCGUUGGCGCAACAGAUGCGCCCGCAUUUCAAAGAACAAUACAAAAAUUAAUCAUUAAAGACUUUGACGAUGAGUAUAAUGACGACUACGGCGACGUUGACAUCGAGAUCUAGCAUAAAGAAGCCCUCCUAUGCGUACAUAUACACGGCUUGUAUCUGUCAGAUAAUUUUGCCUUUUCCGUGCAUGUGAAAGCGUUGUUUAUUAACUUGUAUGCUACUUUACUGUUUGAUAUAUAACAUUGAGCGUUCUAUAAUUAAGCAACAGAAAAAAAAAGAAUCACUCACAAUGCAGCUGAUUGAGUGACGAUGAAAGAAAGGUAAAGGGGGGUGCAAGGUGGGCACAGCGCAUUGCCAUCGUAAAAACCAUUCAAUGUCACAUUUGAUGGAAAAUGCAGCCCACAGCGCUUUUCCACAUUUAUUUUUCACUUAGAAAACAUUUUACACUUGCCCACGUACAUUUCCCCUUUUUUGUGCUUUGAUUUCCGCAUCGAGUUUUCUUUGUGAAUAGGUUGAGUGAACCUAAAAGGCUGCAUUGUGAAAAUAUUUCCCUUCACUAUCAAGCGAAGAAUAUCUUCUACACACAAAUAAAUAAAAAUUCGAAUAAAAAUUCUCGAAAAUAAUUUCGGGGAUUGUGACACACUUUUGCUGCUGGCAUGGAAAAUGUUUUAUGAAUAUUCUAAGCGGAGUGCGCACGGCGGGAAUGAAAAUAAAAUAAACAAAUUCCAUGACAAUGACCUUCUAUCCCAGCCCAGAUAAACAGAUCUCGCAGUAAGUGAGCAAACAUUUUGAGCAAACCAGCCAAAUGUUCGAAAAUUCACAUAAACAGAGAGGAGAAAUGCUGGUGAGAGUGUCUGAAAGUGUGGAGAAUCUAGAACAAAUACAAUAUAUACAUAUGAGUGUAAACAAAUAUAUGCCUAGAACAUUUCGUUUGAACGAUAAUGAAAUAAAAACAAGUUCACUGCACGGAAGUAUCAAAGCAUUCGGGUUUCGGGGGGGUGACAGCUAUACAAAUCGAAAUAGAAAUAGCAGAAGAAAUAGCAGAAAUUGAAGCAAAACAACAAUAAUUAAAUACUACAGCAGGCACGACGACAACAAAUUCCAUACGUCAUCAUUGUGUGGGCACAAAUGAUUAAUUAAACAUUCGGCGGGCAAGUGUGUGUCGUCACAAAAAAGAAAAUUCUUAAAGCCAUUAAGUCAAAGACAGCAUUCUGAUGUAUAGUGAGCAAUCCUGCGGCCAUUUCCCGCCCACAUUCACCCCAAUCGAUUUUCCCCCACUGCACUUCGGGCUUUAAAUUAAUUUGAUCAGCUUAAGUUUCAUUUUCGGCGAUUUUAUUCUGGCCAUUUGUGAAACCAGCUGCCCGCACGAGCGGAGUUGCCGAAAAAAACAUGAGAGUGGCCAGUGAGCUUCGGGGCUUGAGAUACAUUUUAUGGACAUCAUCGUUAAAGUAAUCAGCAGUAACAACAAGAAUCAUCAGACGGCGGCAUUAAACCAAACCAAAAAUAAAAA